Molecule: ribosomal RNA, 308 nt
Filed under: uncultured soil bacterium
Lineage: Bacteria
Description: bacterial SSU rRNA
Rfam family: Bacterial small subunit ribosomal RNA
Source: RNAcentral
AGAACGAACGCUGGCGGCAUGCCUAACACAUGCAAGUCGAACGAGACCUUCGGGUCUAGUGGCGCACGGGUGCGUAACGCGUGGGAAUCUGCCCCUCGGUUCGGGAUAACAGUUGGAAACGACUGCUAAUACCGGAUGAUGUCUUCGGACCAAAGAUUUAUCGCCGAGGGAUGAGCCCGCGUAGGUAUUAGCUAGUUGGUGAAGGUAAAAGCUCACCAAGGCGACGAUCCUUAGCUGGUCUAGAGGAGGAUGAUCAGCCACACGUGGACUAGAGACGACCGGCCCAGACUCCUACGGGAGCAGCGAGU